UGUGGUUUAAUUCGAAGCAACGCGAAGAACCUUACCAGGUCUUGACAUACUCAAACUAUUCCUAGAGAUAGGAAGUUCCUUCGGGACACGGGAUACAGGUGGUGCAUGGUUGUCGUCAGCUCGUGUCGUGAGAUGUUGGGUUAAGUCCCGCAACGAGCGCAACCCCUUUUGUUAGUUGCCAUCAUUAAGUUGGGCACUCUAACGAGACUGCCGGUGAUAAACCGGAGGAAGGUGGGGAUGACGUCAAAUCAUCAUGCCCCUUAUGACCUGGGCUACACACGUGCUACAAUGGAUGGUACAACGAGUCGCGAGACAGUGAUGUUUAGCUAAUCUCUUAAAACCAUUCUCAGUUCGGAUUGGAAGCUGCAACUCGCCUACAUGAAGUCGGAAUCGCUAGUAAUCGCGGAUCAGCACGCCGCGGUGAAUACGUUCCCGGGCCUUGUACACACCGCCCGUCACACCACGGGAGUUGGGUUGCCCCGAAGUAGGUUGCCUAACCGCAAGGAGGGCGCUUCCUAAGGUAAGACCGAUGACUGGGGUGAAGUCGUAACAAGGGUACCCGUAUCGGAARGUGCGGCUGGA
Molecule: ribosomal RNA, 582 nt
Filed under: Lactococcus lactis
Lineage: Bacteria; Bacillati; Bacillota; Bacilli; Lactobacillales; Streptococcaceae
Description: bacterial SSU rRNA
Rfam family: Bacterial small subunit ribosomal RNA
Source: RNAcentral